UGAGGGUUGAAGGGGAGCGGUUUGCCUCCCUCGUCCAGGCCGAGUGGACGCGCCACCCUCUUGCCGUCUCCCUGUCCGAACAGCACCUUCUUACUAAACCGAUCGGAGGUCGGACCGGGAGGGCGGGGGACGGAGGCGGGUCAUGGGCUGAGGGGGAGGGUAGACGAGUGGCGGAAACCCUUAGACUCAGAGAAGCAUCGAGAACCGGAAGGAGACCUUAGGAGGAAGAAGCCAGGGUGCACUGAUUAGUAGGGAACAUUGGAACCUAACAACCAGACACUCUCAACAUACAGGGAGAACAAUGAAGAAAACUUCAAAGAAACCAAUUGUUGUUGCCCUAAUCUAACAAAGAAGUACACUGAAACUUUACUGCUCUGCAAUAAAGCACAGCAAACUGGGAUGAAUUUGUGGUCAG
Molecule: long non-coding RNA, 415 nt
Filed under: Rattus norvegicus (Norway rat)
Lineage: Eukaryota; Metazoa; Chordata; Mammalia; Rodentia; Muridae
Description: long non-coding RNA NONRATT016893
Source: RNAcentral